GCUGGCGGCGUGCUUAACACAUGCAAGUCGAACGGUGAAGCUCCAGCUUGCUGGGGUGGAUGAGUGGCGAACGGGUGAGUAACACGUGAGUAACCUGCCCCCUUCUUCUGGAUAACUGCCUGAAAGGGUAGCUAAUACGGGAUAUUCUGGCCUGCUCGCAUGGGUGGGUUUGGAAAGGUUUUUUCUGGUGGGGGAUGGGCUCGCGGCCUAUCAGCUUGUUGGUGGGGUGAUGGCCUACCAAGGCGGUGACGGGUAGCCGGCCUGAGAGGGUGGACGGCCACACUGGGACUGAGACACGGCCCAGACUCCUACGGGAGGCAGCAGUGGGGAAUAUUGCACAAUGGGCGCAAGCCUGAUGCAGCGACGCCGCGUGAGGGAUGGAGGCCUUCGGGUUGUAAACCUCUUUCGCCAGUGAAGCAGGCCGCCUCCUUGUGGGGUGGUUGACGGUAGCUGGAUAAGAAGCGCCGGCUAACUACGUGCCAGCAG
This 486-nucleotide ribosomal RNA is filed under the name Actinomyces sp. HA4. RNAcentral's name for it is "bacterial SSU rRNA". It matches the Rfam family "Bacterial small subunit ribosomal RNA", at positions 35 to 514 of the family's 1533-position model. Lineage: Bacteria; Bacillati; Actinomycetota; Actinomycetes; Actinomycetales; Actinomycetaceae. The record is from RNAcentral.